This 570-nucleotide ribosomal RNA is filed under the name Triticum aestivum (bread wheat). RNAcentral's name for it is "partial small subunit ribosomal RNA". Lineage: Eukaryota; Viridiplantae; Streptophyta; Magnoliopsida; Poales; Poaceae. The record is from RNAcentral.
GUGGCUACUAUGUAGUUAUCGAUGAAGCUCCUGAUCGACACCAAGUCUGAGAAGGUGUGCUUCGCAGAGGCAGGCAUCGAUGUCGUGUAGUUCCUCACCGGUCUACUGUCCCUGCCGCUUGGCACUGUUGUCAACCUGUUGACAAAGGAUCGCAUGGGCGGUAGCCUUGGCAACGUGCUCAGCAGCGCGGAGAAACUGGACACGAAAUACAAGAUUAAAGAGCGGCGCCUCAGCCCGGCUGUCGGCCCCACCACGCUCUCCUACCUACAGCAGCUGCUGAGUGCGCAGCUCAACAACGGAACGACACUCGCCCGCGACCCUGUUGGAACAACAACAGCCACGUCACUACCUACAUCCACGUACACGAUUGGGGACGACCUUUCGGUGACUCCGGCAUCUUUUUUUACGACUAUCUCGCUGUUGGGCAUCGCAGAGCUUGGCACCCCGGACCUCAAUGCACUGCAGCAAAAGACUGUGAAAAUCGGCAAAGAAGAGGUGCGUGGUGUGCUCUCAUUUAUUUCAAGACCCUAUGAACUUUAUAUUGUGGUUUUGCUUAAUUUUAUUGGUUGA